CCUACGGGCGGCAGCAGUGAGGAAUAUUGGUCAAUGGGCGGAAGCCUGAACCAGCCAAGUAGCGUGCGGGAUGAAGGCCCUACGGGUCGUAAACCGCUUUUGCACGGGGAUAACACCCUCCACUUGUGGAGGUCUGCAGGUACCGUGCGAAUAAGGGCCGGCUAAUUCCGUGCCAGCAGCCGCGGUAAUACGGAAGGCCCGAGCGUUAUCCGGAAUGACUGGGCGUAAAGGGAGUGUAGGCGGCAUAUUAAGUUAUGUGUGAAAGCCCGCGGCUCAACCGCGGAAUUGCACAUAAAACUGGUAAGCUGGAGUGCAGGAGAGGUAAGUGGAAUUCCCGGUGUAGCGGUGGAAUGCGUAGAUAUCGGGAGGAACACCAGAGGCGAAGGCGACUUACUGGACUGUAACUGACGCUGAGGCUCGAAAGCGUGGGGAGCAAACAGGAUUAGAUACCCCUGUAGUC
RNAcentral lists this ribosomal RNA (460 nucleotides) under uncultured bacterium. Its description in RNAcentral is "partial 16S ribosomal RNA". It matches the Rfam family "Bacterial small subunit ribosomal RNA", at positions 338 to 795 of the family's 1533-position model. The record is from RNAcentral.